Ctenopharyngodon idella (grass carp) is the source of this 3806-nucleotide RNA transcript. It is a transcript of the gene named hyperpolarization activated cyclic nucleotide-gated potassium channel 5, with no coding region annotated. The transcript is spliced from 11 exons. Lineage: Eukaryota; Metazoa; Chordata; Actinopteri; Cypriniformes; Xenocyprididae. The record is from RefSeq and is a predicted model, not a curated record.
GAAACAUGAUCUACUUAAUAUCUUAAUGAUUUUUGGUAUAGAAGAAAAAUCUGUAAUUUUGACCCGUACAAUUGCUACAAAUACACCUGUGCUACUUAUGACUGGUUUUGUGGUCCAGGGUCACAAUGCAAAGUGAUAUAUAGACUACAACAAAUUAAUGUAGUUUAGGUGUUUGUUGCCUUCUGGGAAUGUAAGAUCAGUUACCCGUUACAUUACUUGAAUACCACUUUGAAAUUCAACACUGUAUUGUGACUCUCAUAAACAUAGGCUGCCAGUGCAAUACAAUAGUGUAUUCAAUUUAAUGGAGAUCUGAGCUCCACCAUGUAGAUAGCUACUCAUGUCUGUUUUUGAUGUAAACACAUCCACAACAAAAACACAGACCAGUUUUCCCAGAUGUACACAUGAGUUAAACACUGAUUUCUUACAAAACAUAAAUGCCUGCAAAAAAAAAAAAAAAGAUUCUCUCUUUUUGUAAUAGCAAAAUUAUCUACACACUUUUAUGUGCUCAUUAGAAAGAAUCUCUUUGUGAUGUCAGUACAGUCAUUUUACACACAAUGAGAGUGUAAGUAAUUCUAUCACCUCCCAUUGUCACCCUUGGGUCCGGUCCUAUCAGAACCAUCUGUCUAGUUCAGAUAACAAUAGUUGUGAUAUUCAAAACCGCCUUGUGUCAAAGAACCGCCCCACAGUCCAGAUGAGCUGAGCUGAUGUGAGCGCGAGGCAGAGAUACUGAAUAGUUGAUGAGACAAUAUAGUUUGACAGAGGGGAAAGAAUGGAAAGACUGGAACUUAUCUCUUUCUACAUUCUGGACCGAGCCAGAGAACUGUGAUGGAAAAUUACUCUGUGACUGUGCAUGUGCGUGCGUGAGAGAGAGAGAGAGAGAGAGAGAGAGAGAGAGAGAGAAAGGGAGCGAGCGGGAAGGCGAAAAGAAGAAAAGUGGAUGAAAUGGUCAGCAUAAAAGAAAGUCCAGAAAUAAAGUUGUCACAGAGGCUCGGUGAGAGAUGUUAGAGGAGCUUCGGUGAUCAUAGUGCUUAGUCAGGGCCUGGAAAUGCAGCGUUUCGCACCUGAGAAUCUCAGGCGCUUCAGUUGGAACGGGUGGAAAAACCUCCUGCUGCCGCAAUUGAACAGACGCUCGCUGUUUGUCUACGGCAGUGAGGUGGCGGUAGAGAAGGAGUGUAUUAGACAGAAAGAGGGAGGCGUAAUUGUCAUCCAUCCCUUCAGUCGUAUAAGGAGUUACUACAUCAUGUGUAUGAUGGCCAUAACAUUUCUGAAUCUAAUUGGGAUCCCAAUGGAGAUUGCCUUUCUAGAUGGGAACAGUGGAGUAGGUUGGGAGGGUUUUAACGUGUUCUCGGACACUCUGUUCCUGAUUGACGUUGGGCUUAACUUUCGCAUGGGGAUCAUUACUGAGGACAGCGAGGGAGCCAUUAUGGAUUUGAAAAGCAUUCGACAACGGUAUUUAAAGAGCUGGUUUAUACCUGAUAUGGUGGCAGCAUUCCCAGUUGGUUAUAUCCUGCUUAUUGCGGACCUACAAUACCACAGUGAUACUCCCUCAUCCAGAGCCAGCAAAAUGAUGCGCAUCUUAAUGUUUGUGAGAAUCCUCAGUCUUGUCCGCCUGCUGCGUGUGUCAAGGCUUGUUAGGUUUUUCAAUGAGGUGGAGAGAGUUUCAAAUGCCAACUUGGAGGUGGUGAGGGUAUUCCUAAGAAUCUUGUCAUUAUUUAUGAUGAUUUUCCUGCUGUGCCACUGGAAUGGCUGUAUUCAGUAUUUCGUACCAAUGCUUGAGGAAUUUCCCUCAGACUGCUGGGUUAGAAGAGAGAAUCUAAUGAAUGCCACAGUGGGAGAGAAGUACUCCUUUGGAGUUUUUCGGGCCCUCUCUCAUAUGACUGCAAUAUCAUAUGGUUCCUCUGAAACACCCACAAGCAAGGAAUGAUGUUGAGCUGUGGAUUGUCAUGACUAGCAUCGUGUCUGGAGCCAUCAUGUACACAGUGAUGGUUGCUAACACUGCUGCAAUGAUGUCUGAUGUGGACAUAACAGCAAGAGCGUACAAGAACAAGAUAAAUCAUCUGGAAGAUUAUAUGACUUUCAUGAAGCUUCCCAAAGCCCUUCGUAUGCGCAUCAACAACUACUAUCAAGCUCGUUAUGCUGGGAAAUGGUAUGAUGAGAAGGAUGUCCUGAAGUGGGUGUCCUCAUCUUUAAGAGAGGAAAUUCUGCUGACCAUGUGCUCUGCCCAUGUGAGAAAAGUUCCCAUUUUCCGGAACUGUGACAUAAACUUCAUCAAUGCCAUUCUUCUGGAGCUGCAGUAUGAGGUCUUCCAGGCAGGUGACAUCAUCUUCCAGCAGAACGCUCCUGGUGACCGCAUGUUCUUCAUCGAGCACGGCCAGGUCCUUGUGGAGAAUGAGUUUGUCCAGAAAGAACUGUGUGAUGGAGACUACUUUGGAGACUCGUGUCUCCUAACAAGAGGAAAGCGCUUGGCCACAGUACAAGCCGUGACUGUCUGUCAGCUCUUUUCCUUGUCAGUGGACACCUUUCAUUGUGUUCUGGAGGACUAUCCAGACAUCAAGAGAGACCUGGAGACAUCUCAACAGGAUAAAGACAUUUUGUUAUGUUGAGAAAAUGCCUACACCUGCAUCAAACCCUCCUGCAGCUUCCUCAGCAUGAUAUUUGCCAGACUGAGCUUUGCAUUCUUUGGAUCUUCCUCUGUAUCGGCAUAGAUUAUUCUAUUCCAGCUGGUGGAUGUGGGCUUAAGCAACCCCGCGACCCUACAUAGGACAAGCAUUUUGGAAAAUAGGCUUUGUCCAGUUAAUAAGGUGUAACUCGGCAUCAUGCAACCACACUGGAAUGCAGUUUCUCUGAGAAUACUGAUAGGAUUAUAUUAGUUUGUAGGCCUUCUUCUCCAUCUCCUCCAUUUCCUCCUGGCUUCUGCUGCCAUACUACUUUCCAAGUGCCCACAGGAGGAUGCACCAUCACAGCUAAGCAUUGCCAGUCACAAUUUCGCUCCGUUUCCAGGAUCUUUGCCACUUGCUCUUCUAGGUUUCUGCUUCUCCACACCCCCAUGAUCUGCCUCUUUACGUCUUCCUCCGCCUGUUCUCUGAGGUAUCCAGAACAGCACAUCAGCAGCCACCGGUGACCUUUAUUUUCAGUCAGAUUAGCUUUCAGCUACUAAUGUAGUACACUCAGCUAAUUUUUACAUUUAAAUGUCCCACAAAAGUCAUCCGAUUUUUCCCAAAAAUCAGUGCAGAUGAUGCACAAAUUCGGUCAGGGCCUAGAAAUAACCCACCAUUUUACCUUUUUAAAAAAAUGUUAUUUUAGGGGGGGAGGGUAAGAUUUGCUGAAUGUUUUAUAAAAUAAUCCAAAAAUGUGAAAAUUGUAGCUCUGGUUCCUUUUAUAAAAGUUUAUAAAUGUCAUAUUUUAAAAAGAUAUAAACAGAGAACUCUGUCAUUGCAUUUUUUCCCUUGUUUUUUUCUGAAAACUUUUUGUGAAGAACACAUUAUAUUUUUACUUCUCUUAAAACAAAAAUGCACGGUUCUUUAUUUUCAAGAGUAGUAUGUUACCAUGUUUAAAUUACGCCUGUAAAUCAACACGGAUAGCAGUUUGAUAAUAGUGAUUCCCUUUAGCAUACCAUGAGUUAGUAUAUGCAUUCAGAAAUCUCUGUGGGCCUUCAAAGAGAAAGUUUCAUUAGUCACAUAUGUAUAUAAGUUACUCCUGUACAUGCAGAUUUAGAGAAACAAGUAUUAAAGUUUAGAAGUCUCUCUUCUGUCAAGAACAUAUAAAACAUGAAUUAAUAAAGAAAAUAAAGACUUUUUAAAACAUGA